GGACCGGUGGCAGAGCCGGGUAUUGCAGCACUCAGAGCCGUACGCCGGGCAUGCACGGGCGACUCGAAGGUGCGUGGGGCCACUGGCGCGCCAUGCCCCACUGGGGGUUCAAAUCCCCUCCGGUCCG
RNAcentral lists this transfer RNA (127 nucleotides) under Verrucosispora sp. CNZ293. RNAcentral describes it as "tRNA-Asn". It matches the Rfam family "tRNA". Rfam says of the family: Transfer RNA (tRNA) molecules are approximately 80 nucleotides in length. Their secondary structure includes four short double-helical elements and three loops (D, anti-codon, and T loops). Further hydrogen bonds mediate the characteristic L-shaped molecular structure. tRNAs have two regions of fundamental functional importance: the anti-codon, which is responsible for specific mRNA codon recognition, and the 3' end, to which the tRNAs corresponding amino acid is attached (by aminoacyl-tRNA synthetases). tRNAs cope with the degeneracy of the genetic code in two manners: having more than one tRNA (with a specific anti-codon) for a particular amino acid; and 'wobble' base-pairing, i.e. permitting non-standard base-pairing at the 3rd anti-codon position. The record is from RNAcentral. Lineage: Bacteria; Bacillati; Actinomycetota; Actinomycetes; Micromonosporales; Micromonosporaceae.